GAGGAUGCCGGCUACAUUGUCCUUGUAAGUUUCGGAACUGGAGGUUUGAGACUAUCUCCUUGACUGCUCUGAAAGAAGUGGAGUUCGAUGGCUUCGAAGGAGAGGAUCAUGAAUUUGAUUUAUUACAAUUGAUACUUGGAUGUGCACCGACGUUGAAAAGAAUGAGUGUGCAGCUGUCAGAAGAGACCUCGGCAAGUCAUGAGGGAUGCGCAAAGAUAUACAGCAUCUUCAAGGCGUGUUCAUCUGUGAAAUGCGAUGUUUAUCACAAUUCUGGGUUAAUGCACGACAGCCAAAAUUGCCCGUCGAUGAGAUUCUCGGGUGUGUUGAUUCAGGGUGUUCAUUGACAAGGUCUCAGGACGUUGCUUGGUUGCUUCAACCGAUCAUCCGGCAUGCUCUUUUGUCAGUGUACUGUACUAGCUAUAAUCUAAGGUGCUCAGUUAAAUCUUGUGUGGUUUCUAUGCCAUUUGACUAUUGAAGUUAACUGCAGUCUAUCUAUGUCUUCAGUCAAUUACUUGAAGGUGAUUGUCAUUUUAAA
Long non-coding RNA from Triticum aestivum (bread wheat), 535 nucleotides. RefSeq lists it as uncharacterized. The record is from RefSeq and is a predicted model, not a curated record. The transcript has 2 exons. NCBI's taxonomy places the organism in Eukaryota, Viridiplantae, Streptophyta, Magnoliopsida, Poales, Poaceae.